Molecule: ribosomal RNA, 253 nt
Filed under: uncultured bacterium
Lineage: Bacteria
Description: partial 16S ribosomal RNA
Rfam family: Bacterial small subunit ribosomal RNA
Source: RNAcentral
UACGUAGGGUGCAAGCGUUGUCCGGAAUUAUUGGGCGUAAAGAGCUCGUAGGCGGUCUGUCGCGUCGGCUGUGAAAACUCGGGGCUCAACCCCGAGCCUGCAGCCGAUACGGGCAGACUAGAGUUCGGUAGGGGAGACUGGAAUUCCUGGUGUAGCGGUGAAAUGCGCAGAUAUCAGGAGGAACACCGGUGGCGAAGGCGGGUCUCUGGGCCGAUACUGACGCUGAGGAGCGAAAGCGUGGGGAGCGAACAGG